RNAcentral lists this ribosomal RNA (301 nucleotides) under uncultured bacterium. RNAcentral's name for it is "partial 16S ribosomal RNA". It matches the Rfam family "Bacterial small subunit ribosomal RNA", at positions 509 to 809 of the family's 1533-position model. The record is from RNAcentral.
CAGUCGCCACGGGAAUACGAAGGGUGCAAGCGUUAAUCGGAAUUACUGGGCGUAAAGCGCGCGUAGGUGGUUUGGUAAGAUGGAUGUGAAAUCCCCGGGCUCAACCUGGGAACUGCAUCCAUAACUGCCUGACUAGAGUACGGUAGAGGGUGGUGGAAUUUCCUGUGUAGCGGUGAAAUGCGUAGAUAUAGGAAGGAACACCAGUGGCGAAGGCGACCACCUGGACUGAUACUGACACUGAGGUGCGAAAGCGUGGGGAGCAAACAGGAUUAGAUACCCCUGUAGUCCCUGUCUCUUAUAU